This 926-nucleotide transfer RNA is filed under the name Marmota monax (woodchuck). Lineage: Eukaryota; Metazoa; Chordata; Mammalia; Rodentia; Sciuridae. The record is from RNAcentral.
GUGCAGUGGAGCACACCUGUAAACCCAGCUACUUGGGAGGCUGAGGCAGGAGGAUUGAAGUUCAAGGCCAGCCUAGGCCACUCAGGGAGACCCUGUCUCAAAUAAAAGGGGCUGGGGUUGGGGCUCAGUGGCAUGACUAGCAUGCGUGGAACUGUGGGUUUGAUCCCAGGCAACAUGAAAAUAAACAAUAUUUUUUAAAAAAUAUUUAUUUAUUUUUUAGUUGUAGUUGCACACAAUACCUUUAUUUAUGUGUGGUGCUGAGGAUCGAACCCAGGGCCUUGCACAUGGUAGGUGAGCGCUCUGUCACUGAGCCACACCCCAACCCCAAAUAAAUGAAAUUUUAAAAAUAAAAUUGACACAAGAUUUGAAUCACCUCUGCUCCAGAGAAGGCAGAUUCAUGACAGAUAAUCCCUUGAAACGAUGCUCAAUCUCCUUAGUCAUAAGGGAAAUGCAAAUCAAACCACAGCAAGAAACCACAUCACACCCAUCAGGAUGACUCCGAUAAAAAGCAAGUGAUAAGGGGUGUUGGUGAGAUUAGAAAUCUCUCCCUGCUCACAGGAACGUGAAUGGUCCAGCAUGGAGUUUCCAUGUCAACCAGCAAUUCCACGCCCCUGUAUACACCCCAGAGAUAGGAAAGCGGCCUCCACGUGUGAAAUUUGUGUGUGUGAAUGUUCACAGCAGCAGUAUUCUUUAUAACCAUAAGAGGGAAUAAAAGAGAGUCCAAAUUGAUGAAUGGCUAUGUAAAAUGUGGGCUGUCUGCACCGUGGGAUUUUGAUUCAUGCUACAAUGGAUGAAACAUGCCAAAUGGAAGAACCCAUCACCAAAAGCCAUAUAGGGCAUGACUUCAUUUGUGUGAAACCUCUGGAACAGGCACGUCUGUAGAGACAGAGAUAGAGGAGGAACUAACUUGGACCGAGGGGAGGGAG